CGGGAGGCAGCAGUGGGGAAUAUUGCACAAUGGGCGCAAGCCUGAUGCAGCCAUGCCGCGUGUAUGAAGAAGGCCUUCGGGUUGUAAAGUACUUUCAGCGGGGAGGAAGGUGUUGUCGUUAAUAACCACAGCAAUUGACGUUACCCGCAGAAGAAGCACCGGCUAACUCCGUGCCAGCAGCCGCGGUAAUACGGAGGGUGCAAGCGUUAAUCGGAAUUACUGGGCGUAAAGCGCACGCAGGCGGUCUGUCAAGUC
RNAcentral lists this ribosomal RNA (255 nucleotides) under Salmonella enterica subsp. enterica serovar Senftenberg. RNAcentral describes it as "partial 16S ribosomal RNA". It matches the Rfam family "Bacterial small subunit ribosomal RNA", at positions 342 to 589 of the family's 1533-position model. The record is from RNAcentral. Lineage: Bacteria; Pseudomonadati; Pseudomonadota; Gammaproteobacteria; Enterobacterales; Enterobacteriaceae.